This 257-nucleotide ribosomal RNA is filed under the name Lacticaseibacillus casei 21/1. RNAcentral's name for it is "Lactobacillus casei 21/1 partial 16S ribosomal RNA". It matches the Rfam family "Bacterial small subunit ribosomal RNA", at positions 1 to 228 of the family's 1533-position model. Lineage: Bacteria; Bacillati; Bacillota; Bacilli; Lactobacillales; Lactobacillaceae. The record is from RNAcentral.
UUUAUAUGAGAGUUUGAUCCUGGCUCAGGAUGAACGCUGGCGGCGUGCCUAAUACAUGCAAGUCGAACGAGUUCUCGUUGAUGAUCGGUGCUUGCACCGAGAUUCAACAUGGAACGAGUGGCGGACGGGUGAGUAACACGUGGGUAACCUGCCCCUUAAGUGGGGGAUAACAUUUGGAACAGAUGCUAAUACCGCAUAGAUCCAAGAACCGCAUGGUUCUUGGCUGAAAGAUGGCGUAAGCUAUCGCUUUUGGAUGG